This is a long non-coding RNA of Otolemur garnettii (small-eared galago), 311 nucleotides long. RefSeq lists it as uncharacterized. Lineage: Eukaryota; Metazoa; Chordata; Mammalia; Primates; Galagidae. The record is from RefSeq and is a predicted model, not a curated record. The transcript is spliced from 2 exons.
GAUUGGUACUUAGCUGAAGAAAGAAAACGAUUGCCUGGGGGAUCGAACUGAGGAAACUAUCUGGAGAUACAGACUAUGAAGCUCAGUUUAAGAGCUAUGGAGUCAAGGAUGAAAAGACUGAGACACUGAAAAGAUAAGAACUCUGCCCAAGAUCACCAGCCAGUCAUGGAAGAACUUGGAGGUGGGCCCAGGAGCACUUCUUGGAGCUACCCAGUUUACUGCCUCAGUGUGGUUUAGUGCUAUCAGAUCCAAUGCCUUUGGCAUUGGUGGGAAAAGCAAUCCAUGUAAAUCUUAUAAAUGAAAGAAAACAA